This 446-nucleotide ribosomal RNA is filed under the name uncultured bacterium. Its description in RNAcentral is "partial 16S ribosomal RNA". It matches the Rfam family "Bacterial small subunit ribosomal RNA", at positions 338 to 795 of the family's 1533-position model. The record is from RNAcentral.
CCUACGGGCGGCUGCAGUCGAGAAUCAUUCACAAUGGGGGAAACCAUGAUGGUGCGACGCCGCGUGGGGGAAUGAAGGUCUUCGGAUUGUAAACCCCUGUCAUGUGGGAGCAAAUUAAAAAGAUAGUACCACAAGAGGAAGAGACGGCUAACUCUGUGCCAGCAGCCGCGGUAAUACAGAGGUCUCAAGCGUUGUUCGGAAUCACUGGGCGUAAAGCGUGCGUAGGCUGUUUCGUAAGUCGUGUGUGAAAGGCGCGGGCUCAACCCGCGGACGGCACAUGAUACUGCGAGACUAGAGUAGUGGAGGGGGAACCGGAAUUCUCGGUGUAGCAGUGAAAUGCGUAGAUAUCGAGAGGAACACUCGUGGCGAAGGCGGGUUCCUGGACAUUAACUGACGCUGAGGCACGAAGGCCAGGGGAGCGAAAGGGAUUAGAUACCCGAGUAGUC